This 81-nucleotide transfer RNA is filed under the name Chloroflexus aurantiacus J-10-fl. Its description in RNAcentral is "tRNA-Und (NNN) (tRNA-Und-NNN-2-1)". It matches the Rfam family "transfer-messenger RNA", at positions 291 to 374 of the family's 374-position model. From Rfam's summary of the family: Bacterial tmRNA, also known as 10Sa RNA or SsrA, is named for its dual tRNA and mRNA-like properties. RNAcentral also lists the same sequence under 1 other name. The record is from RNAcentral. Lineage: Bacteria; Bacillati; Chloroflexota; Chloroflexia; Chloroflexales; Chloroflexaceae.
GAGAUGAAACGAGGGGCUAAACCUGUAGAUGUCUGCGGUCUAGCUUUCUGGACGGGGGUUCGACUCCCCCCAUCUCCACCA